This 73-nucleotide transfer RNA is filed under the name Thryonomys swinderianus (greater cane rat). Its description in RNAcentral is "transfer RNA-Asn". It matches the Rfam family "tRNA". Rfam says of the family: Transfer RNA (tRNA) molecules are approximately 80 nucleotides in length. Their secondary structure includes four short double-helical elements and three loops (D, anti-codon, and T loops). Further hydrogen bonds mediate the characteristic L-shaped molecular structure. tRNAs have two regions of fundamental functional importance: the anti-codon, which is responsible for specific mRNA codon recognition, and the 3' end, to which the tRNAs corresponding amino acid is attached (by aminoacyl-tRNA synthetases). tRNAs cope with the degeneracy of the genetic code in two manners: having more than one tRNA (with a specific anti-codon) for a particular amino acid; and 'wobble' base-pairing, i.e. permitting non-standard base-pairing at the 3rd anti-codon position. Lineage: Eukaryota; Metazoa; Chordata; Mammalia; Rodentia; Thryonomyidae. The record is from RNAcentral.
UAGGUUGAAGCCAGUAGUUUUAGGCGUUUAGCUGUUAACUAAGUUUUUGUAGGAUAGAAGCCUGUCAACCUAG